Long non-coding RNA from Astatotilapia calliptera (eastern happy), 1957 nucleotides. The record is from Ensembl. Lineage: Eukaryota; Metazoa; Chordata; Actinopteri; Cichliformes; Cichlidae.
GAUUUAAAUUAAAAGUACUUAAUGUGUGCAACAGUUUCUCUUCCUACCUUCUGUUGUCCUUCCAACAUUCACACUCUAAUACUAGGGUGGGAAACUCCAGGCCUCAAGGGUUGAAGUCCUGCAGGUUUUAGAUCUCACCCUGGGUCAACACACUGGAAUCAAAUGAUUAGUUCAUUACCAGGCCACUGCAGAAUUUCAAGACAUGUUCCAACAGGCCCACAAGCACUUGCACAUCUAAAGAUAAAGAUGACUACAUACGGGCAGGUUAGCAAUGCAACCAUCAUUGCCCUUCUUGAACAGUUUAACACCAAGGUCCUGAAUGGUAUACCCCACAUUCUCUCUGUGACAAACAUUAAAAAAGUUGGAGCAUAAAAAUUGAAUGUGGACACAAGUCAAAAAUAAAAAUAUAAAGGCAAGAAUUUAACAGUGAGUUAGUAGAUUUGUUUCAACAUGAUCCGGAGCGGCAGUUUGCCUCAGUCGCUUCAUCAUAUCCUGAAUGAUUAGUACGUUGGUGUGAGAAGGAGACAUCAGCUGUGCUGCAGUGGUCGACAGCCAGAUGGGCUUGGAUUGCUCUGUGAAUGUAUGAAACCUAAACCUGGGUGAAAGCAGAUCAUAUUUAAAUAUCAAUCCCCUUACAUGAUCAUUUCUGAAAUUAAAUCAAACUGCAGAAACACAAUGCUGUAGUUCCCAUGAAUUACAAAUGCGCUUUUGGUUUAUCAUCUUGAAAAGUACAAUAGGCAUCUCAAACCAGGCAGCUGGCUAAUAAUGUCAAUACUUACUCACUCUGACAAAAUGGUGACUAGGAAAUCAAAUAAUUUAUAUGCUUUGAAACAAAAAAAAUAUUUUAUUUAUUGGUUACGUGUUUUAGUAAUAUCACUUUUGAGUCAUUUAAAAGUACAGAUCCGGAAAAGCAUUAAUUGUACUGCACACACAGCUAGGCCUCUGAGAAAGUGGGUGACACUCAGUGGGUGAGAAUUCCACAGGUGUUAACUUACUGCUCACCGUGUCAAUAGAUUUUAAUUAAAUUUCUGUAACAGAUUCUUGUUAACUCGGCUUUUCCACAUGGAAAACAAGGAAAAUUAUUACUGUUGGUGCAUAAAUACUGCACCCUAAUGAAGAAAAUAAAUCAGUUUUCAGAUAUUACUGACCAACAACACACUUUUUCCCCCUUUGUGGUAUUAGAAUCAAAUCUGUUUUUCAGAAUUUGUUUUUGUAUGUCUGCUGAUUUGUACUGUACUUUAAACUGUGACUAAAUUUUACAAACUUGUCACUCCUGCUACUAAAGUCUCAUAUACACAGAAAUAUAUCUGAUUCUGAUUAUUCUGAAUAAAGAGAUAUAACCAUUUGUAAUGGCCAUUCUUUGUAUCAUUUAUUCUUUCAGAAUUCUUUUUAAAUGAAACUUUAUUCAACUUGUGAAUUUAAAGCAGAUUUAUACCCAUAUACAGAAUAUCAAGAACAACAGCUGUUAGAAAAUACAAGAGAAAGUGAAAACAUAGAUUGCUAUUCAAUGUUAAAUGUGCUCUUCGUAAGUGCCAUUUUAAUAAUUAAUGAAAGAAAACACACCUUAUCUGCAUCAACAAAUAAACUCAACAUGGAUCCAUCAACUCUGACUUGGCCCUGCCAAAAACAUCUAAGACCUUGUGUGUUGAGUACCAUUCCUUCCCGUUCUUUUAAAAUACAUGAUUCUACUUAUCAAAAAAUGCGCACAGGUUCUAUUAUAAACACUACACGGUUUAAAACCAUCAGACUGAGGUCUUUACAAAAUACAAACACUGGUCUAAUCUACAGCAUCGUGUCACCAGCACCAAAGUGCACACAGAGCAAAUUGCGUCCUUUUAGUCAUGUUGUUAACAUCACACAGAAACGUUUAAUCUCCAGUGAGAGGGAAUUCUCUUCAUAAUCUCAUCAUCACUUCUCUUCAGUUGUCCUCUCCGUCUCGCAGCACCUUGUGCACAGC